GAUGAACGCUGGCGGCAUGCCUUACACAUGCAAGUCGAACGGCAGCACGGGUGCUUGCACCUGGUGGCGAGUGGCGAACGGGUGAGUAAUACAUCGGAACGUACCUUAUCGUGGGGGAUAACGCAGCGAAAGCUGUGCUAAUACCGCAUACGCCCUGAGGGGGAAAGCGGGGGAUCGCAAGACCUCGCGCGAUUAGAGCGGCCGAUGCCUGAUUAGCUUGUUGGUGGGGUAAAAGCCCACCAAGGCGACGAUCAGUAGCUGGUCUGAGAGGACGAUCAGCCACACUGGGACUGAGACACGGCCCAGACUCCUACGGGAGGCAGCAGUGGGGAAUUUUGGACAAUGGGGGCAACCCUGAUCCAGCAAUGCCGCGUGAGUGAAGAAGGCCUUCGGGUUGUAAAGCUCUUUUGUCAGGGAAGAAACACCGGCUCUAACACAGUCCGGGAAUGACGGUACCUGAAGAAGAAGCACCGGCUAACUAUGUGCCAGCCGCCGCGGUAA
RNAcentral lists this ribosomal RNA (501 nucleotides) under uncultured bacterium. RNAcentral describes it as "partial 16S ribosomal RNA". It matches the Rfam family "Bacterial small subunit ribosomal RNA", at positions 28 to 523 of the family's 1533-position model. The record is from RNAcentral.